CGGAAUGCUUUACACAUGACAGUCGAGUAGAGGGGCAACCCCUUGAGAGUGGCGAACGGGUGAGUAAUAUAUCGGAACGUGCCCAGUCGUGGGGGAUAACGUAGCGAAAGUUACGCUAAUACCGCAUACGAUCUAAGGAUGAAAGCGGGGGACCGUAAGGCCUCGCGCGAUUGGAGCGGCCGAUAUCAGAUUAGGUAGUUGGUGGGGUAAAAGGCUUACCAAGGCGACGAUCAGUAUCUGGUUUGAGAGGACGAUCAGACACACUGGAACUGAGACACGGUCCAGACUCCUACGGGAGGCAGCAGUGGGAAUUUUCCGCAAUGGGCGAAAGCCUGACGGAGCAAUACCGCGUGAGGGAAGAAUGCCUAUGGGUUGUAAACCUCUUUUUCAGGGAGGAAUAAAAUGACGUGUACCUGAAGAAUAAGCAUCGGCUAACUCCGUG
Molecule: ribosomal RNA, 442 nt
Filed under: uncultured bacterium
Lineage: Bacteria
Description: bacterial SSU rRNA
Rfam family: Bacterial small subunit ribosomal RNA
Source: RNAcentral